Molecule: ribosomal RNA, 377 nt
Filed under: uncultured delta proteobacterium
Lineage: Bacteria; Deltaproteobacteria
Description: bacterial SSU rRNA
Rfam family: Bacterial small subunit ribosomal RNA
Source: RNAcentral
UAAUACGGGGGGUGCAAGCGUUGUUCGGAAUUAUUGGGCGUAAAGAGCGUGUAGGCGGCCAGAUAAGUCAGAUGUGAAAGCCCUGGGCUUAACCCAGGAAGUGCAUUUGAAACUGUCUGGCUUGAGUAGGGGAGAGGAAAGUGGAAUUCCUGGUGUAGAGGUGAAAUUCGUAGAUAUCAGGAGGAACACCGGUGGCGAAGGCGACUUUCUGGCCCUAUACUGACGCUGAGACGCGAAAGCGUGGGUAGCGAACAGGAUUAGAUACCCUGGUAGUCCACGCCGUAAACGAUGUUCACUAGGUGUUGGGGGUAUUGACCCCCUCAGUGCCGCAGCUAACGCAUUAAGUGAACCGCCUGGGGAGUACGGUCGCAAGACUA